UGGGGAAUAUUGGACAAUGGGCGAAAGCCUGAUCCAGCCAUGCCGCGUGUGUGAAGAAGGUCUUCGGAUUGUAAAGCACUUUAAGUUGGGAGGAAGGGCAGUUACCUAAUACGUGAUUGUUUUGACGUUACCGACAGAAUAAGCACCGGCUAACUCUGUGCCAGCAGCCGCGGUAAUACAGAGGGUGCAAGCGUUAAUCGGAAUUACUGGGCGUAAAGCGCGCGUAGGUGGUUUGUUAAGUUGGAUGUGAAAUCCCCGGGCUCAACCUGGGAACUGCAUUCAAAACUGACUGACUAGAGUAUGGUAGAGGGUGGUGGAAUUUCCUGUGUAGCGGUGAAAUGCGUAGAUAUAGGAAGGAACACCAGUGGCGAAGGCGACCACCUGGACUGAUACUGACACUGAGGUGCGAAAGCGUGGGGAGCAAACAGGAUUAGAUACCCCUGUAGUCCCUGAGCGGGCUGGCAAGGCGCAU
Molecule: ribosomal RNA, 472 nt
Filed under: uncultured bacterium
Lineage: Bacteria
Description: bacterial SSU rRNA
Rfam family: Bacterial small subunit ribosomal RNA
Source: RNAcentral